AUGAGCAGGGGAGGGGCAGAGAGAAACGGAGACACAGCAUCUGUCAGCACAGAGCCCGACACGGGGCUCCAACUCACGAACUGUGAGAUCAUGACCUGAGCCGAGGUCGGACGCUUAACCGACUGACCCCCCACCCCCUCCCGCAGGCGCCCCAACGUUGUAUUUCUUGACUUUGAGGCAAAGAAGCAGACGUAGGCAGGUCGCUUAGGCCCCCCAGGGACACGCCGCCGGUGAGAGCCUCAGCUCCGAGCUGCCCGCAGGAUAUCCGUAGCUGUCAGAACUCCUCCUCUGCCCGCUCUCUAGAAGAGUUGAUGUAUGACGUCAUGUUAGAUUCAGGGGUGCGACACAGCGAUUGGGAAAUCGCGUCUGUUUCUCAGUGCACACCAGGCAAGCGUGGUCACCCGUCGUCACCACGAGCGCAUGGCUUCCCCAUCCUUCCUUUCCGCACAGAAGGCCACCAAUUUCCCGGCAGAGCGGGCUCUGUUUCUCAUUGGCUGGUGGACUCGGAGAAGGCGGGACUCUUCAAACAGGCUCUUCUGCCUUUCCUGCUUUCCUAAGCGAGGCCAAGUUCAGUGAUGCCAGGAACGCAGAUGUUCUUGCGGUUGGGUCUCCCUGAUCAGCACAGGCCUGGUGUUUUGCUGUCUUUUAAUCGCGAGGCUUACAGUUCACAAACAGCCUCUGCUCCCCUCAUCUCCCCAAACUGGGUAAUCACGACACAGCUUUAACUUGCUUCCGAUCCGAUACCCCUCUCUGCUAACAAUAUAUGCAGCCAGCUUGCCUGGGAGCAGGGCGACCGGCCUGAUCAGGUCGACAGGGACUAUCCCAGCCUUAGUACCGAAAAGCCCAGUGUUGUGGGAACCCCUCAGACCGGGCAAACUGGGACAGCUGCUCAUCUCAACCGGGAGGCUCCCACUUGGGGAUGUUCGGCUACUCCUGGGGUUGGCUGCAGACGGGGGGAACGGGGGGACCCAGACGGGAGGGCCGGGUGGGAAGGUUUGGUCGUGGCUGGAGUAGGAGACCCGAGCCCUCUCUGCCUUCCAGAACGGACCCCAGCCUGGUAACGCCGCUGUCCCUGCCCCAAGGUCAGUGCUGAGCAUCUCACGUCCUGGUGCUGGGAUAACCUCAGUGAGCGUCACAUCUUUCCACUUCUCUUAUAGAUGGGGAAACCGAGCCGGGAAGGGGAGGCUUUCCCAAACAAUAACAAUGCCAACUCAGAUUUACGGGUAUCAGGAUAGCACAGAUGUCCAGAGAAGAGCUGGGUGUUAACCCCGUCUCUACCGUGAGGACCAGGGCGGAGAUGACCAGUGUGGUCAGAGGGGACCAGGCAAAGCCCACUGGACAAAUGGCCAAGUUGUCAAACUUUUAACGUUUAUAGCAAAUUGUGCAGGAUGGGAUGGAUUUGGAAGGUUUCUGUGACGUUUUGCUGACCAAUAAUUAUUUUUCCUUUGUGUCAGUAUUUUAACAAAUGUUUUGGAGGAAAGACAGAGGGGAAUCAGUAUGUCAGUAUGCAGCUGCUAACCUUGGCUGCUGACUCCUGGACGAGAGAGAGUGAGAGAGACAGGGGUGGGGAAGGCUGAGGGUAUUAGUUCAUUAAUCUACUCUUCUCAUAAAGAGAACCGUGUUCAGAAAACUAUUCUUUAAAAAUUUUGGAAUGCAUUGAUUAUAUGCUUUUAGAAAGCUUCCUUAUGCUGGGAAAUUUCAAACACACACAAACAGAAUAAUAUAAUGAGCCCGACGCACCAUUCUUUUCAACAGGGAUCAAUAUGUAACCAGUCCUGUGUCAUCUCUGUCCCCACGCUUUGUCUCCUCUCCCCAAGCACGGACUGUUAAGCAACUCCAGCCGUUCGUGUCUUCUGUAAAUAUGACUGUUCUCAAGUAUACCAAAUACAUUCCUGAAAAUACCUUUCUUGGGGUGGAAAAAUUCCUGCCAGUAUACAUUUCCACGUCCCUGAGUCUCCCCUUCCCUGCUUUUCAGCCCUCCUGUCUAUCUCCUCCCUCACCCCUCACCCUUCACCCUCCCCUCUCUGUCCUCAGCGUCCCCCUAACCUGACCAGCGGUCUCUCCUUCCGGGGGUGGGCAGUCCAGGCUGACUCUCCCCCCCACCUCCCACCCCGACCGUUUCCUCCAUCUGAAGCAGUGGGGAG
Molecule: long non-coding RNA, 2144 nt
Organism: Acinonyx jubatus (cheetah)
Lineage: Eukaryota; Metazoa; Chordata; Mammalia; Carnivora; Felidae
Exons: 3
Source: RefSeq, a predicted model, not a curated record